Molecule: ribosomal RNA, 112 nt
Filed under: Adhaeribacter radiodurans
Lineage: Bacteria; Pseudomonadati; Bacteroidota; Cytophagia; Cytophagales; Hymenobacteraceae
Source: RNAcentral
AAUGGUGGUUAUAGCGCGGGUGUUCACCUCUUCCCUUUCCGAACAGAGCAGUUAAGCCCCGUAGCGCCAAUGGUACUGCAAUCACAUGCGGGAGAGUAGGUAGCCGCCAACC